Molecule: transfer RNA, 75 nt
Filed under: Struthio camelus australis
Lineage: Eukaryota; Metazoa; Chordata; Aves; Struthioniformes; Struthionidae
Rfam family: tRNA
About the family: Transfer RNA (tRNA) molecules are approximately 80 nucleotides in length.
Source: Rfam by way of RNAcentral
GCAUUGGUGGUAUAGUGGUGAGCAUAGCUGUCUUCCAAGCAGUUGACCCCACUGGUUCAAUUCCCGGCCAACGCA